UGGUGCGGAAACAAGUAAGUAUGCACAGCUGGCAGCUCAUGUGUUAGGAUAUUUCACAACCAAAGCCUCUAGUUGUAGCUUUGCACUUUGUUGGCAUAACCUGAGUAUUCACAUGGAGAAAUGUCUCCCUUGAACAUCUUUAAAAAUUGUCUUUUCCUUCAAGCUUAACAGACCUAAAGCAAAAAAAGUCUGGACCAAGCCCAGGAUGGCUAUUAGGCAGGAAACUCACUUAGUUGCAACUUUGUUUGAAAUUCUUCCCUGACAUUAUUACUUAAAGUGCUUGUUUCUCAAACAAACAUAUUUUAUUUUUCUUCAUUGUGUUUCCUUAGAAAUACUAGUUUAUGGUAUACAAGGCACUGAGGUAUUCCAAUCUUUUUUUUUUUUUUUUUUUUUUUUCUCAAACUUGAUAUAAUUUCUUACUCCAAGGGCAUAGUAUUUCACAACAAAUGCUCUGUGUGAGAUAGAGUAAGACAAGUUACCUUUGGUUAUUUACACAGCUGCUAACAGGGAGGUAGACAUUUAGACAUUGUCAGGAAACAGGGCCCUGGGUUGUACACCUUAAAGGAGGUGGUGAGAAUUUUUCAUAUCUUCACAAAUGUAAAAUUUCAUUCCACCAUUGGGUUCAGUGCAGUUACCUCAACUGAGGAAUCUUGCUUCUAUCAAGUCAGUAUUCAGUAAUUACUAAGAAUACAACAUAAAUUAUUUUGAGAUGUAGGAAUGUAAAUUAAAUUACGGUAUUACACAUUGAAAUAAUCUUUGUUUGUUUGAAGUCAUUUUAUACAAUCUCCCUUUUCCUUAUGAAGUGAAAUUCUUCCAAUGUCCACUUUCUGAAAGGGAAUGUUAACAAGACCGGACCCCGCAUUUUACAAGUACAUUAGCAGGGACAUUUACUAGAAUAAUCUAGGAACUCAUUCAGCAACACACUCGAACAGUAAAGGUGAAUGUUUUGAAUUAAAAUUCCCAGUUCUGGAUCUAAUUUCAUUUUAACGAGACAACUGGAAAAUGUUGGAUUCCAUUUGCUAAUUAGAACCAUUAUUUUAAAUUUGUUGUAAGAGGCAUAUAUUUGUUAUACUUUUAUAACAGUAAAUUGCUAUUGCCUUACUAAUCCUUUCAUUAAUCUUAAAUGAAGUCCAUGUUUGGGAACUUUGACUUAAAUCAAUUUCCUGGCCCCAGGAAAACUUGUAACAUAUACGUGUACAAACAUACACAUAUACAAAGUUGUAAGGUUAAAAAAUAUAUAUGUACAUGCACAUAUUUUUGCAUAUAUAUACAUACAUAUGUAAACUUGCAUAUCUGCUUUUAUCUUUCUUUUAAAUGUAAUUCAUUAAUAGGAAACAUCACAUGGCAUUAAUAACAAUCCUUGCUUAUUUGGGAAUUAUAAAUCAAAACUGAUAUACAUGUGGUGUUAAACAGAAGAACAGAAGCACAGUUGUCCUGGGAUAAAUUUGGCAUCAAAAUGUGUAUCAAUGUGUUAGAUUCUAAGUAAUUUUUCUUGUUUGUAACAACAUUUCUUAAAUGAAGAAGCCUUAAAAAAAAUGAAUGGUAAUGAGAGAACUUUGGGUUUUGAUCCAUCAUGGAAUUUUACAAAGAACUGGCUUUCCACUAAACAUCCAGGCUAUAUUUCAUCAUUUAUGAUCAAAGAAGACCACUGGUCACAGAGUGGGGUAAGACACAACAGGUAAACUAAUAAAAUGUAAUUGUUUUCUCAUGCAAAAAAUGUUGACCAAUUCAAACACUGCAUUUAAACUACUGAAUACUUGCCUGUUAAACUCCCAAGAAAAUGCCGAAAAUUCAAAGCACAAUCAGAGAAUUAAAAUGUACAGAAUUAAAACUGAUUGUGCUGCUCAUGCAAAGACAGUCAUUCUGUACUAAGUGACUGACUCCUCCUUUUUAGCAGAUUUGUUUGCAUAAAUAAUGCAGCAUCAGACAGCAUUUUUUAAAAUGUAAAUAAGUAAACUUCCUUUUAAGAGUUAAUACGAUAGCAAAAAGAUACAGUCACCAGAUUCAUGAGGGCCAUAAAGGGUGAUUAAUUCUUUAUCACCGUCCACAGGAUUGAAUCCAGCCCAGAAGCUGCAGGAGCCUUUGCUGCUGUGAUUCUGUUUUAGCUUGUCACUUCUUUCACAGAAUAGACAUUCCAUUUCUGUCUCCAAGACAAAAUAUUCUGCCUGAAAAUCUGUAUAAUAUAUCCAAUGUGACAACAGGCAUGAUAAUGAUGCAUGAACGUCUUCCCUGCUUUUAGAUAAUCCACAGAAGGAAUCCCGGUAAAUUGCUAGGGGUACAAAGGAGAGGAAUGGGGUAGGGAGGGAGAAUGUCUUGGUUAAUAAAUUGAUUUAAUGUGAAAUAGAUCUCACAGUGAAGAAGCCAGAAUUUACACAUGUGGAAGCUUUAUCAGUUGUUCUUCUACUCUUUCUCUGUUUUAAAUUUUGAUUUCCUGUCCAAACUAGACAGCAAAAAACAAAAAUUUAUAAAUACCAUCAAUGUGCAAAACUCAUAACCGUUUAUAUGAGAAAAUUUCUGUUUUCUUAAGUUCUUUCAGAAAACUGUUUUCUAUGCCUUGCUUAAGGCAUAUCAUCCUCAUAAAAUUAACAGCCAGAGAUUCAUAUUUCAGGACAGAAGUAAUUAAUUCCUUUCUAAUUAGAUAAAACUUGCCCCAAAUCUUUAAAAUUCCUUUCACAAUUUUACAUCAGUAGAGGAUCUAUCUAUGAACUCCUUUAAUUUGGAAGGUUUUACAGUGUUCUAAAAAGCAGCAUAAAAUGGGAAAUAUUAAAAGGAGAGGUUGUGCCUGAGUGGAUCUUGAGACAUGAACAUCUCAGAAUAAUUUCAUAUGAGAAGCAAUACUUUCCAUUUAAUGAAGACUCCCGAGUACCUAGCAAGCCUCAAUCUGCUGCUUACUUCAUCUCACAGACCUAACCUGUCCUUCAGCAGGGUUUGAUGAAGAAAGGAAGCAGCGUGCAGGAACGUUCCAGUUCUAGCACUUAGAGCAGAACAAAUGAUAGCUUAACAAAAAGGAUGCUGACAUACCUGGGUUGAUAAGGCUUGUCUGGACAGACACUUUCACAGCAGCAUUGUCUGCUCCAGGGGCAGCCAAAGUUCCUAAUUAAAAGAUUUAUUCCAACAUUUGCCUCUAGGAAGCACAUACAGCCAAGGAGGUAAGUCCGCAAAGAGAGAGAAGGCAGCAAAAAUGUCUAAAGGCAAUGGUCACAAAGGCAGAAGACCCAAACAAGAAGAUUCUUGAAAGUUUAAGAACAAAUAAAAAAUCCAAAUGACAGAGAGAGUGUGACUGACGAUAUCAAACUAAGCAGUUACAUCAUGAAAGAUAAGCAAGAAGAAACCUUCCAUCUUUACGAAAGAUAUCCAAGUGUCACUUGCUCAUUACAGCAUGAUUAAAGCAGUUUCAGUUGGACUGAAGAAGGGAGAAUGGAAACACAACAAGGGAAUCAAGGGGAUUUGUGAAACCAGAAGAGUUGUGGCAUGGUUAGGAGAGGAGGACUAAAACACAAACCCAAUACAGCAUGAAAUAGGAACGACUGGAUCUAGCAAAGGCAGGGCAAUUCCAGUACAUCAGCUUCUUUUAGCAAAACCUCUGACUGUGAAGUUUAGAAGCAGUAGGCCUGGAUUUGGGGAUGUAUCAAAGGUGAAAAGAGUCAGCCAGAAGCAUGGGUGAGAAAUUCAGUUACAGCCAGAGAAAUACAAACCUUCUGGCAAGGAAGAUACCAAAAUGAGAAAUGAGGCCCAGCAAGUACACAGAAGUUAGUGGAACGUUUUAAACUUCAACUGAUAAGACAAUUGUUUUAAUCAGAAAACAAAAUAGAUCUUAGCGUCUGUGUUUUCCCAGCUGCAAGCAUGUGUGCCUGGAAGUUUUAUUGUUUGAACUGCAUGGUGGAGAACUGGCCAUUUGUUCUUCUCCGUCUCUGAAUUGUUGACAGCUCAGUUAAAAUGUGGCUCCCUUGCAGGAUGUUGUCAUCAAUCUGUCUUAACAUAACAGCAAUCCUGUUGAUGUCCAAUUCCUGCUGAAAAUGCUACAUCUUUAAUCAAAUAAUGUGUUAUACACUGUUUGAAAAUUCACCAAACUCGUGGCCGUGGUCAAGGACAAGAAUACGUAGCACUUUACAGCUUCAAAGGAUUACACAAACUCAAGCAUGUUAUUUUCAAACCCAGUAUCCUGUCCCAAAUAAUUGACUUUAACAAGACUUUAAAGUCAUUGCUUAUUUAGAACAGCUUUAGGUUUUGAAGAACUGCAUUUCCUGUCAGCAGUACUUAACUGUUUAUGAAUUCCUGAGGAAGUUAGUGACCCAAAGAGGAAAUUCCUACUUUUCUAAGGUAAGUUAGAGAUACAAAGAUGAGAACAGAAAAAGACUAACGUGCAGUACAAGAUGGUACUCUGUUAUACAACAACAAAAACAAAACAAAACAAAAAGUUUAUUUUUGUGGUAGUUCUCAAAAGCCUUAUUCAACAACAACUUGAUUUCUUGGAAGAUAUAGCAGAAACAAAUUGAAAGAUGUAAAUUGCAAGAAGCACACAACCAUGUUAGCAGUGAGAUUAAACAACUACACAGAGUGUAAGAA
Molecule: long non-coding RNA, 4566 nt
Organism: Oxyura jamaicensis (ruddy duck)
Lineage: Eukaryota; Metazoa; Chordata; Aves; Anseriformes; Anatidae
Exons: 2
Source: RefSeq, a predicted model, not a curated record